GACGAACGCUGGCGGCGUGCUUAACACAUGCAAGUCGAACGGAAAGGCCUCUUUCGGGGGGUACUCGAGUGGCGAACGGGUGAGUAACACGUGAGUAACCUGCCCUUGACUUUGGGAUAACUUCAUGAAACUGGGGCUAAUACCGGAUAGGAGCUCCUGCUGCAUGGUGGGGGUUGGAAAGUUUCGGCGGUUGGGGAUGGACUCGCGGGUUAUCAGCUUGUUGGUGGGGUAGUGGCUUACCAAGGCUUUGACGGGUAGCCGGCCUGAGAGGGUGACCGGCAACAUUGGGAAUGAGAUACGGCCCAGACUCCUACGGGAGGCAGAAGGGGGGAAUAUUGAACAAUGGGUGGAAGCCUGAUGCAGCAACGCCGGGUGCGGGAUGACGGCCUUCGGGUUGUAAACCGCUUUCGCUCAUGACGAAGCUUUGUGUGACGGUAGUGGGUAAAGAAGCACCGGCUAACUACGUG
RNAcentral lists this ribosomal RNA (467 nucleotides) under uncultured bacterium. Its description in RNAcentral is "partial 16S ribosomal RNA". It matches the Rfam family "Bacterial small subunit ribosomal RNA", at positions 28 to 507 of the family's 1533-position model. The record is from RNAcentral.